CCAGGGUGGUACUGCCCACACAGAGAAGAUCCCGGGGUCAGCAGUGCCAUGCCUUGCAGCCCCUGACCCCGUAGCAUUGGCAAAAAUGGAGAGCUGUCAGGGCAGAAAGCAGACCUUCAGACAGCAUCUCACUCUGUUGCUCAGGCUGGAAUACAGCGG
Molecule: long non-coding RNA, 159 nt
Organism: Nomascus leucogenys (northern white-cheeked gibbon)
Lineage: Eukaryota; Metazoa; Chordata; Mammalia; Primates; Hylobatidae
Exons: 3
Source: RefSeq, a predicted model, not a curated record